ACCUCUUGAUUAGGACAUUGCAUGAUCUUCUCAUUAAAUCUCUCCCACACCUCAUAUAGAGGUUCUCCAUUAAAUUGAUGAAAAUUGGUGAUUUCCUCAUGCAAUU
RNAcentral lists this small nucleolar RNA (106 nucleotides) under Capsicum annuum. RNAcentral's name for it is "Plant small nucleolar RNA R71". It matches the Rfam family "Plant small nucleolar RNA R71". Rfam says of the family: R71 is a member of the C/D box family of snoRNAs containing the C (UGAUGA) and D (CUGA) box motifs. The record is from Rfam by way of RNAcentral. Lineage: Eukaryota; Viridiplantae; Streptophyta; Magnoliopsida; Solanales; Solanaceae.